RNAcentral lists this microRNA precursor (114 nucleotides) under Schmidtea mediterranea. RNAcentral describes it as "microRNA sme-mir-752 precursor". Its record names the gene sme-mir-752. Lineage: Eukaryota; Metazoa; Platyhelminthes; Tricladida; Dugesiidae. The record is from miRBase by way of RNAcentral.
AUUGAUUAUAGUUAUCUAAUUUGAAAACCUCCAAAGUGAUUGUGAAUAAAAGUUUUAUUAAUUUAAUCACAGUCAGCAUUGGUGGUUUGAAAGUAGAGUGAUCUUACAAUCGAA